GUAUAAGCGAGGUUUUUUGUCACUGAAGUUAACUGCAAAAGUCGUACUCGACUUAUUCGCUGUAAGCCGCCGUUUGGAGGGGAGCUGCGAAAUGAUCGCAGCGCGCAGGGUGGCGAGUAGUGAGUUGAGCCAGCCUGUGUGUGGUAGCAUUUUGUAUCAGAAAUAAUAGACAGUAUGUGGAAUUACACUUGUUGUGUCGUUAACUGCAAAAAUAACGGUAAAACUAGUGAUCGUAUAUUUUACAAGUUUCCAACUGCAUCGUAUAAAAUAGGUUAAAGGCAAAAAUGGAUUGCUGCUGUGAAAAGAAAAAAAUCCUGAUGGUUCAAAGUGGACUCCAAAAACUCAUCACGUAAUAUGUAAUACUCAUUUCAUUGGCAAGAAAAAAUUAAAUGCUCCUGCGAGUCCAAGCUACGCGCCAACUCUAUUCUCUUCUAUUUUAUAUAUUCUAUUCCAUUCAAGUUAAUGAUGAUUCUAACAAUGUUGUCAAUAAUAGUGGACGUGAACCUAUGGAUGUAAGCAGCGCCGAAGUCAUUUUAAAAACUGAUCAAGAGUGUCAAGUAGAUUUUCUAAGUUCUACUGGUAUCGAAAAAACAAAAACUUUCAACUGCACUUUAUAUGGCUCAGAAGAUACGGAUGCUUGUCGAACAACUUCAGCUUGAAUAAACAAACUUUCUCCAUUAUGCCUGUAUUCUUGCACACUGCGAACAUGAUCGGCUUUAAGUAAUUUUAUGCCUGGUAGUUCCGUUGCAGGUUGAAAGUUUAUUUCGAGUGUGAUUUUUUCAAAUCCUGUCCUUAUUAAAACAUCCAUGACUACGGAUUUUUCCAUUAAAAAAUUAUUUAUUAUGUAUUAAUAGUAUACAUGACAGUUUUUUAAGUAUCAAUGUUGUCCAUCCAUCCAUGUGUCAAAAUAUACUUGCUUUGAACUUCUUAA
Neodiprion fabricii is the source of this 931-nucleotide long non-coding RNA. RefSeq lists it as uncharacterized. Lineage: Eukaryota; Metazoa; Arthropoda; Insecta; Hymenoptera; Diprionidae. The transcript has 2 exons. The record is from RefSeq and is a predicted model, not a curated record.